This 256-nucleotide unclassified non-coding RNA is filed under the name air metagenome. Its description in RNAcentral is "partial contains small subunit ribosomal RNA, internal transcribed spacer 1, and 5.8S ribosomal RNA". The stretch from base 1 to 46 matches the Rfam family "Eukaryotic small subunit ribosomal RNA", at positions 1786 to 1831 of the family's 1831-position model. The record is from RNAcentral.
AAGUCGUAACAAGGUUUCCGUAGGUGAACCUGCGGAAGGAUCAUUAUUGAAUUUUGGAAGGAGCUGUCUGCUGGCCCUCUUGGUGGGGCAUGUGCACGCUCUGGAACCUCCAACACACACCUGUGCACCUUUUGUAGGGUCGUGGUCGCGAGGCUGCGCUCUAUGUUUAUGAUGAACUCUUUAGUAUGUGUAGAAUGAAUGACACUGCGUGUAACGCAUCUUUAUACAACUUUCAGCAACGGAUCUCUUGGCUCUC